Molecule: long non-coding RNA, 842 nt
Organism: Anastrepha obliqua
Lineage: Eukaryota; Metazoa; Arthropoda; Insecta; Diptera; Tephritidae
Exons: 3
Source: RefSeq, a predicted model, not a curated record
AGCAUGCAACUCUGCUUAUCGGACAUUUCGCAAAAUAUACUACCAGCAAAAAGUGAGUGGGCGAAUUGCACGCGAAGAUACAAAGGCAUCAUCAACAUAUGUGACCAUUUUUAAUGCUGAAAAAGAGCAGUUUGCUGAAGCGCAGAAAAAAAACUGAAGUGACUACUUAAUCCCAUGUUGAAGCUAUCUGGCAUAUCGCCAACUGGAAGGAUAUCUAUAAUCCCCUCGUUGCCGCUGCUAAGAGAUGUUUGUGUCAUCUAAGCUUUAAGUGACCUAGAGAAGCCUACCUAUAUAGUAUGUGCAAGGAAAUCAUUUGCAGCUGUUCGAACUUGUGGGAGGAAUGUUGGGCAAAGCGGUGUAUGAGGACCCGACGAGGAUACGGGCCACACUAUUGGUAGUGUCAUACGUGGUUAGCAGCAAUACAGGAUUUGAGUUGUUCUGAAAAGUGUAUUCUUUAAGCAAAAUGUGUCAGCCUGCAAAGUCAUAACUUAUUAACAACACUAACAUAAAAUGUCACAAUAACGUCUGGUAUCGCUACGAGUCUACAUAUCCGCCAGCUUCGAAUUCGAGACGUUGAACCAAAUAUUAUUUUUUUCUCUGAGAAGUAGCUCAUAUGCCCAACUUUAUUUUUAAAUUAUGUGUUCUUACAACUUAGUGAUUUUCUGCGUUACAUAUUCAAAAGUGAUUGUUACUAUAAUUGGGAGUUUUAGAUAACUGUGAUAAGAAAUUUACAAAUUGUUGUAGUUGAAUUCCAAGAUAUAAUUAUAUGGGGCUAAUAUAAUAAUUUCACUUUUCCCUAAUAUGGUUUUUGUACCAGUGAAAUAAAAUUUAUGUAAAUAGCA